CAGUCGCCGCGGUAAUACGUAGGGUGCAAGCGUUAAUCGGAAUUACUGGGCGUAAAGCGUGCGCAGGCGGCUAUGCAAGACAGAUGUGAAAUCCCCGGGCUUAACCUGGGAACUGCAUUUGUGACUGGCGAGCUAGAGUAUGGCAGAGGGGGGUAGAAUUCCACGUGUAGCAGUGAAAUGCGUAGAGAUGUGGAGGAAUACCGAUGGCGAAGGCAGCCCCCUGGGCCAAUACUGACGCUCAUGCACGAAAGCGUGGGGAGCAAACAGGAUUAGAUACCCCUGUAGUCCCUGUCUCUUAUAA
RNAcentral lists this ribosomal RNA (301 nucleotides) under uncultured bacterium. RNAcentral's name for it is "partial 16S ribosomal RNA". It matches the Rfam family "Bacterial small subunit ribosomal RNA", at positions 509 to 809 of the family's 1533-position model. The record is from RNAcentral.